AAAGCGCGCGUAGGUGGUUUGUUAAGUUGAAUGUGAAAUCCCCGGGCUCAACCUGGGAACUGCAUCCAAAACUGGCAAGCUAGAGUAGGGUAGAGGGUGGUGGAAUUUCCUGUGUAGCGGUGAAAUGCGUAGAUAUAGGAAGGAACACCAGUGGCGAAGGCGACCACCUGGACUCAUACUGACACUGAGGUGCGAAAGCGUGGGGAGCAAACAGGAUUAGAUACCCCUGU
Molecule: ribosomal RNA, 230 nt
Filed under: uncultured bacterium
Lineage: Bacteria
Description: partial 16S ribosomal RNA
Rfam family: Bacterial small subunit ribosomal RNA
Source: RNAcentral